UUGAAACUCAAAGGAAUUGACGGGGGCCCGCACAAGCGGUGGAGCAUGUGGUUUAAUUCGAAGCAACGCGAAGAACCUUACCAGGUCUUGACAUCUUUUGACAAUCCUAGAGAUAGGACUUUCCCUUCGGGGACAAAAUGACAGGUGGUGCAUGGUUGUCGUCAGCUCGUGUCGUGAGAUGUUGGGUUAAGUCCCGCAACGAGCGCAACCCUUAUUGUUAGUUGCCAGCAUUAAGUUGGGCACUCUAGCAAGACUGCCGGUGACAAACCGGAGGAAGGUGGGGAUGACGUCAAAUCAUCAUGCCCCUUAUGAUCUGGGCUACACACGUGCUACAAUGGACGGUACAACGAGUCGCAAGACCGCGAGGUUUAGCAAAUCUCUUAAAGCCGUUCUCAGUUCGGAUUGUAGGCUGCAACUCGCCUACAUGAAGUCGGAAUCGCUAGUAAUCGCGGAUCAGCAUGCCGCGGUGAAUACGUUCUCGGGCCUUGUACACACCGCCCGUCACACCAUGAGAGUUUGUAACACCC
RNAcentral lists this ribosomal RNA (527 nucleotides) under uncultured Bacillota bacterium. Its description in RNAcentral is "bacterial SSU rRNA". It matches the Rfam family "Bacterial small subunit ribosomal RNA", at positions 894 to 1422 of the family's 1533-position model. Lineage: Bacteria; Bacillati; Bacillota. The record is from RNAcentral.